Molecule: ribosomal RNA, 518 nt
Filed under: Escherichia coli
Lineage: Bacteria; Pseudomonadati; Pseudomonadota; Gammaproteobacteria; Enterobacterales; Enterobacteriaceae
Description: partial 23S ribosomal RNA
Rfam family: Bacterial large subunit ribosomal RNA
Source: RNAcentral
GGGCGGGACACGUGGUAUCCUGUCUGAAUAUGGGGGGACCAUCCUCCAAGGCUAAAUACUCCUGACUGACCGAUAGUGAACCAGUACCGUGAGGGAAAGGCGAAAAGAACCCCGGCGAGGGGAGUGAAAAAGAACCUGAAACCGUGUACGUACAAGCAGUGGGAGCACGCUUAGGCGUGUGACUGCGUACCUUUUGUAUAAUGGGUCAGCGACUUAUAUUCUGUAGCAAGGUUAACCGAAUAGGGGAGCCGAAGGGAAACCGAGUCUUAACUGGGCGUUAAGUUGCAGGGUAUAGACCCGAAACCCGGUGAUCUAGCCAUGGGCAGGUUGAAGGUUGGGUAACACUAACUGGAGGACCGAACCGACUAAUGUUGAAAAAUUAGCGGAUGACUUGUGGCUGGGGGUGAAAGGCCAAUCAAACCGGGAGAUAGCUGGUUCUCCCCGAAAGCUAUUUAGGUAGCGCCUCGUGAAUUCAUCUCCGGGGGUAGAGCACUGUUUCGGCAAGGGGGUCAUCCCGA